Felis catus (domestic cat) is the source of this 1297-nucleotide long non-coding RNA. RefSeq lists it as uncharacterized. NCBI's taxonomy places the organism in Eukaryota, Metazoa, Chordata, Mammalia, Carnivora, Felidae. The record is from RefSeq and is a predicted model, not a curated record. The transcript is spliced from 3 exons.
CCCUCUCUCUGUGAGAAUAUAUGUGAAUUAUCUUUAAAAUGGUAAAACCACAGAAAUUAUCGUAUGAUGAGCGCUGAGAACAAGGCAUGGCAUGAACUCCAUGAAGUAAAAAGAGAUGUGGAAGUCCUUCUUCAGGAAAGCUCUGAGAAACCAAAAUAAGAUGCCAUUUCGUACAUGUGGACUUUUGAAAUGCGGAGUAAUGUGAAAUAACACUAAAGGAAAAACGGGGCUGUUAUUCGUCCUCCAGGAGGUAAGACUUACCCAGCACUCGUCCAGGAGCUUCAGUGUAGCACUACCGAGCAUCUCCCGUAUGAGGGGCACGUCACGGCCAUCUGACUGUCCUGGCUUCUGACAUCAGACUUGCAGGAAAUGCCCCCCCCACCCCCAGACGUCAGUCAGUACUUUGUGUGCAGCCCACACACUGGGCUACGUGGCUACAGCCUCUCUCCGGGACCCAGAGCACGCCUCCCCUGGAGCCUGGCUCUCCCGCCUGAGGGCUCGUUUGCUCUGACGCACAAGCCGACGCAAAGGAGAGUAACCCGUUCAUCGCCAUCACGGAAUUGGCCGCAUAUGGGAUCUGACCCAGAGCUGAAAGGAAGGACAGAGUCCCCCUGUUCUCAAGCAGUGACAAUACGGUGAGGGAUCUCCUCGAGGAGAAGACGGAACGUUUCUGAUUGAUGGUCAACCGUCACCACACUCAGUGCGACUUUCUGGCCCCUAAGGUCCCAGGAUUGAGACAUGUUAGGGAAGGCAGAUAUGGUGUGAGCCCCCUCUAGGCCAGAGAAUAAGCUUCUCUACUGGACCUCCAGGCAUCCAGAGAAGGACCAGAGACGAUCAAAGGUGAUCUCGAACUAAGGAGUACCGGCGGAUGCUCAUCCUAGCCUGUGGGAGCACGGAGGGAGUGACUCCCGUGCGGACGCUCAGGGUGCACACGGGUUUCCUGGCCUUUCCGGCAGGAAAUGAGAGGAACACCCCGGAGCACGGAAACGAAGCUGAGACCAGCUCGAGGACAAGCUGAUGGAGCUCAUCCUUCAAACGCACGCAAGCAGUCACUCUUCAGGCCGCGUCACAAAAUGCGCGUCCACUCGGAUGGUCGUUGGGGCCCCUCUGAACCGGCCCCUGGACGUGACGAUGCCUCCAGAGGAAAUCCACCUGACAGCGUGCAACACAAAGCAUCAUUAUUAGGCUGUUUCUCACGGCUCAUGGCCGGUUAACUGCAAACACGGGGUCAGAAACGGUUUUUACACGCUCCUGUUAGAUGGAAAGUGAAAAUUAAACAUGUUGGUAUCAUUCUCUA